AGAGUUUGAUCGUGGCUCAGGAUGAACGCUGGCGGUAUGCUUAACACAUGCAAGUCGAACGGUGUCUUCGGACACAGUGGCGGACGGGUGAGUAACGCGUGAGAAUCUGCCAUCAGGUCUGGGACAACCACUGGAAACGGUGGCUAAUACCGGAUGUGCCGAGAGGUGAAAGGUUAACUGCCUGAUGAUGAGCUCGCGUCUGAUUAGCUAGUUGGCAGUGUAAUGGACUACCAAGGCGACGAUCAGUAGCUGGUCUGAGAGGAUGAUCAGCCACACUGGGACUGAGACACGGCCCAGACUCCUACGGGAGGCAGCAGUGGGGAAUUUUCCGCAAUGGGCGAAAGCCUGACGGAGCAAUACCGCGUGAGGGAGGAAGGCUCUUGGGUCGUAAACCUCUUUUCUCAGGGAAGAACAAAAUGACGGUACCUGAGGAAUAAGCAUCGGCUAACUCCGUGCCAGCAGCCGCGGUAAUACGGAGGAUGCAAGCGUUAUCCGGAAUGAUUGGGCGUAAAGCGUCCGCAGGUGGCUAUGUAAGUCUGCUGUUAAAGCGUCUAGCUCAACUAGAUAAGAGCAGUGGAAACUACAAGGCUAGAGUGCGUUCGGGGCAGAGGGAAUUCCUGGUGUAGCGGUGAAAUGCGUAGAGAUCAGGAAGAACACCGGUGGCGAAGGCGCUCUGCUAGGCCGCAACUGACACUGAGGGACGAAAGCUAGGGGAGCGAAUGGGAUUAGAUACCCCAGUAGUCC
RNAcentral lists this ribosomal RNA (744 nucleotides) under uncultured cyanobacterium. RNAcentral describes it as "bacterial SSU rRNA". It matches the Rfam family "Bacterial small subunit ribosomal RNA", at positions 8 to 796 of the family's 1533-position model. Lineage: Bacteria; Bacillati; Cyanobacteriota. The record is from RNAcentral.